AACGCACCUUGCGCCCUCUGGUAUUCCGGAGAGCAUGCCUGUUUGAGUGUCAUGUAGACUCAAUCCCUCGGGUUUCCGAGGAGAUUGGACUUGGGUGUUGCCGCUUUGCCGGCUCGCCUUAAAAGACUUAGCGGGAUAGCACCGUAGCUGGCGUAAUAAGUUUCGUCGGUGAAGGUUGUGAUGACUGCUUACAAUCGCCCUCGGGCAAUUUUUGACUCUGACCUCAAAUCAGGUAGGACUACCCGCUGAACUUAA
This 255-nucleotide unclassified non-coding RNA is filed under the name uncultured fungus. RNAcentral's name for it is "partial contains 5.8S ribosomal RNA, internal transcribed spacer 2, and large subunit ribosomal RNA". The record is from RNAcentral. Lineage: Eukaryota; Fungi.